RNAcentral lists this ribosomal RNA (301 nucleotides) under uncultured bacterium. RNAcentral describes it as "partial 16S ribosomal RNA". It matches the Rfam family "Archaeal small subunit ribosomal RNA", at positions 459 to 759 of the family's 1478-position model. The record is from RNAcentral.
CGGUAGCCGCGGGAAUACCAGCAGCCCAAGUGGUGGUCGCGAUUAUUGGGCCUAAAGCGCUCGUAGCCGGGCCGGUAAGUCCCUUGUGAAAUCGGACGGCCUAACCGUUCGGCGUGCAAGGGAUACUGUCGGUCUUGAGGCCGGGAGACGUCCGAGGUACUCCGGGGGUAGCGGUGAAAUGUUCUGAUCCUCGGGGGACCACCGGUGGCGAAGGCGUUCGACGAGAACGGGCCUGACGGUGAGGGGCGAAGGCUAGGGGAGCAAACGGGAUUAGAUACCCCCGUAGUCCCUGUCUCUUAUA